This 2317-nucleotide ribosomal RNA is filed under the name Staphylococcus aureus. RNAcentral describes it as "partial 23S ribosomal RNA". It matches the Rfam family "Bacterial large subunit ribosomal RNA", at positions 61 to 2318 of the family's 2925-position model. Lineage: Bacteria; Bacillati; Bacillota; Bacilli; Caryophanales; Staphylococcaceae. The record is from RNAcentral.
NNNNNNNNNNNNNNNNNNNNNNNNNNNNNNNNNNNNNNNNNNNNNNNNNNNNNNNNNNNNNNNNGACGAUAUGCUUUGGGGAGCUGUAAGUAAGCUUUGAUCCAGAGAUUUCCGAAUGGGGAAACCCAGCAUGAGUUAUGUCAUGUUAUCGAUAUGUGAAUACAUAGCAUAUCAGAAGGCACACCCGGAGAACUGAAACAUCUUAGUACCCGGAGGAAGAGAAAGAAAAUUCGAUUCCCUUAGUAGCGGCGAGCGAAACGGGAAGAGCCCAAACCAACAAGCUUGCUUGUUGGGGUUGUAGGACACUCUAUACGGAGUUACAAAGGACGACAUUAGACGAAUCAUCUGGAAAGAUGAAUCAAAGAAGGUAAUAAUCCUGUAGUCGAAAAUGUUGUCUCUCUUGAGUGGAUCCUGAGUACGACGGAGCACGUGAAAUUCCGUCGGAAUCUGGGAGGACCAUCUCCUAAGGCUAAAUACUCUCUAGUGACCGAUAGUGAACCAGUACCGUGAGGGAAAGGUGAAAAGCACCCCGGAAGGGGAGUGAAAUAGAACCUGAAACCGUGUGCUUACAAGUAGUCAGAGCCCGUUAAUGGGUGAUGGCGUGCCUUUUGUAGAAUGAACCGGCGAGUUACGAUUUGAUGCAAGGUUAAGCAGUAAAUGUGGAGCCGUAGCGAAAGCGAGUCUGAAUAGGGCGUUUAGUAUUUGGUCGUAGACCCGAAACCAGGUGAUCUACCCUUGGUCAGGUUGAAGUUCAGGUAACACUGAAUGGAGGACCGAACCGACUUACGUUGAAAAGUGAGCGGAUGAACUGAGGGUAGCGGAGAAAUUCCAAUCGAACCUGGAGAUAGCUGGUUCUCUCCGAAAUAGCUUUAGGGCUAGCCUCAAGUGAUGAUUAUUGGAGGUAGAGCACUGUUUGGACGAGGGGCCCCUCUCGGGUUACCGAAUUCAGACAAACUCCGAAUGCCAAUUAAUUUAACUUGGGAGUCAGAACAUGGGUGAUAAGGUCCGUGUUCGAAAGGGAAACAGCCCAGACCACCAGCUAAGGUCCCAAAAUAUAUGUUAAGUGGAAAAGGAUGUGGCGUUGCCCAGACAACUAGGAUGUUGGCUUAGAAGCAGCCAUCAUUUAAAGAGUGCGUAAUAGCUCACUAGUCGAGUGACACUGCGCCGAAAAUGUACCGGGGCUAAACAUAUUACCGAAGCUGUGGAUUGUCCUUUGGACAAUGGUAGGAGAGCGUUCUAAGGGCGUUGAAGCAUGAUCGUAAGGACAUGUGGAGCGCUUAGAAGUGAGAAUGCCGGUGUGAGUAGCGAAAGACGGGUGAGAAUCCCGUCCACCGAUUGACUAAGGUUUCCAGAGGAAGGCUCGUCCGCUCUGGGUUAGUCGGGUCCUAAGCUGAGGCCGACAGGCGUAGGCGAUGGAUAACAGGUUGAUAUUCCUGUACCACCUAUAAUCGUUUUAAUCGAUGGGGGGACGCAGUAGGAUAGGCGAAGCGUGCGAUUGGAUUGCACGUCUAAGCAGUAAGGCUGAGUAUUAGGCAAAUCCGGUACUCGUUAAGGCUGAGCUGUGAUGGGGAGAAGACAUUGUGUCUUCGAGUCGUUGAUUUCACACUGCCGAGAAAAGCCUCUAGAUAGAAAAUAGGUGCCCGUACCGCAAACCGACACAGGUAGUCAAGAUGAGAAUUCUAAGGUGAGCGAGCGAACUCUCGUUAAGGAACUCGGCAAAAUGACCCCGUAACUUCGGGAGAAGGGGUGCUCUUUAGGGUUAACGCCCAGAAGAGCCGCAGUGAAUAGGCCCAAGCGACUGUUUAUCAAAAACACAGGUCUCUGCUAAACCGUAAGGUGAUGUAUAGGGGCUGACGCCUGCCCGGUGCUGGAAGGUUAAGAGGAGUGGUUAGCUUCUGCGAAGCUACGAAUCGAAGCCCCAGUAAACGGCGGCCGUAACUAUAACGGUCCUAAGGUAGCGAAAUUCCUUGUCGGGUAAGUUCCGACCCGCACGAAAGGCGUAACGAUUUGGGCACUGUCUCAACGAGAGACUCGGUGAAAUCAUAGUACCUGUGAAGAUGCAGGUUACCCGCGACAGGACGGAAAGACCCCGUGGAGCUUUACUGUAGCCUGAUAUUGAAAUUCGGCACAGCUUGUACAGGAUAGGUAGGAGCCUUUGAAACGUGAGCGCUAGCUUACGUGGAGGCGCUGGUGGGAUACUACCCUAGCUGUGUUGGCUUUCUAACCCGCACCACUUAUCGUGGUGGGAGACAGUGUCAGGCGGGCAGUUUGACUGGGGCGGUCGCCUCCUAAAAGGUAACGGAGGCGCUCAAAGGUU